RNAcentral lists this ribosomal RNA (609 nucleotides) under Triticum aestivum (bread wheat). Its description in RNAcentral is "partial small subunit ribosomal RNA". Lineage: Eukaryota; Viridiplantae; Streptophyta; Magnoliopsida; Poales; Poaceae. The record is from RNAcentral.
AUGGUUUCCUGGUCUGAUGAUGACACCAGCGAGAACUCUCACCAGUACGCCGACUCAGCUUCAGACGAGGGCAUCAUCAAGAUCCCUGAGACCAUCGAUGACUCUGAUUUCGAGGGCACUGAACCUGAUGUUUUGUGCAAUGAACACUCCCUGCCGGCAGAGAGGCGUGUUGCUUUCCAGGGCAUCCAUACUGGCAGGAGGUUCUUUGCUUGUGCUGUGAAGGAGGGAAGAAACUGUGGGCUAGUUGAAUGGGUUGAUCUAUUUUGGCCAGCUACAAUGGAGAAUGCAUUAACCAAGUUGUGGCAUAAGUAUGAAGAGUGCAGGAGGAGCAAGAUUGAGGACAAUCUGGAAAGCUCAUUUGCUGUUCACAGUCUGACACAACAGAAGAUCAAGCUGCAGGCAAGUUAUGAGAGGUUGGUUGAAGAUGUCAACGGCCUUUUGGAUGCCCAGGAGCAGAGGGCUCAGCUGGAGAGAGGUAAGAUGCAGAACAAACCUGAUGAGAGCAAGCUGCAGCAAAAGUAUGACAUGCUCAAGAACCUGACAGCUGCUCAAGCCAAAGUCAUUAGGGACAUGAAGUUGAAGCUUGCUGAAGAGAAGAUUAAGUUGUAG